GACGAACGCUGGCGGCGUGCUUAACACAUGCAAGUCGAACGGAAAGGCCUCUUUCGGGGGGUACUCGAGUGGCGAACGGGUGAGUAACACGUGAGUAACCUGCCCUUGACUUUGGGAUAACUUCAGGAAACUGGGGCUAAUACCGGAUAGGAGCUCCUGCUGCAUGGUGGGGGUUGGAAGGUUUCGGCGGUUGGGGAUGGACUCGCGGCUUAUCAGCUUGUUGGUGGGGUAGUGGCUUACCAAGGCUUUGACGGGUAGCCGGCCUGAGAGGGUGACCGGCCACAUUGGGACUGAGAUACGGCCCAGACUCCUACGGGGGGCAGCAGUGGGGAAUAUUGCACAAUGGGUGGAAGCCUGAUGCAGCAACGCCGUGUGCGGGAUGACGGCCUUCGGGUUGUAAACCGCUUUCGCUCAUGACGAAGCUUUGUGUGACGGUAGUGGGUAAAGAAGCACCGGCUAACUACGUG
This 467-nucleotide ribosomal RNA is filed under the name uncultured bacterium. RNAcentral's name for it is "partial 16S ribosomal RNA". It matches the Rfam family "Bacterial small subunit ribosomal RNA", at positions 28 to 507 of the family's 1533-position model. The record is from RNAcentral.